UACGGAAAGUAGUAUAGUUGGUAUGGUUACUCCUUGGAGUCGGGUUGCUUGAAAGUGCAGCCUAAAGUUGGUGAUAAACUUCAUCUAAGGCUAAAUAUCGACGCGAAAUCGAUAGCAAACAAGUACCGUGAGGGAAAGUUGCAAAGAACUUUGAAGAGAGAGUUCAAGAGAACGUGAAAUCGCUGAAGUGGAACCGGAGAGAGUUAACAUAACUUGGUAGCUAUAUCCUCUAAAGUCGCUUAACUGUGGCUCUGGGGGGUGGACGCUACCUGUUGUUGCACUGACUGCGUUGAUUGUGCUUUCCGAACAGUAUAGUGUUGCCCACUUUGUGGUGUCUUGCUUUCUGGGAGGUUUGUCAUAAUUAACGUAAAGCCAAUUCCCUUUGGAGUCAGUGUGAAAGUUAACCACCUUUCCGACCCGUCUUGAAACACGGACCGAGGAGUGUAAUUUAUACGCGAGUCAAGGGGUGGUGAAAACCCUAGGGGCGGAAUGAAAGUAAAGGCCGGUUAACCGGUUGACAUGGGAUCCGCUCUUCGGAGCGGCGCACCAUGGCCCUGUCUUGUCUGCUUGCAGAUGGGCAGCGGUAGAGCGUAUAGUUUGCGACCCGAAAGAUGGUGAACUAUGCUUGAGCAGGACGAAGCCAGAGGAAACUCUGGUGGAAGUCCGUAUCGGUUCUGACGUGCAAAUCGAUCGAUAGA
Molecule: ribosomal RNA, 698 nt
Filed under: Heterorhabditis bacteriophora
Lineage: Eukaryota; Metazoa; Nematoda; Chromadorea; Rhabditida; Heterorhabditidae
Description: eukaryotic LSU rRNA
Rfam family: Eukaryotic large subunit ribosomal RNA
Source: RNAcentral